RNAcentral lists this long non-coding RNA (201 nucleotides) under Olea europaea (common olive). RNAcentral describes it as "long non-coding RNA (OEUR_LNC011392)". The record is from RNAcentral. Lineage: Eukaryota; Viridiplantae; Streptophyta; Magnoliopsida; Lamiales; Oleaceae.
CUUGAGCCGGGAGAGUCUCUUCGAACGCUCCUCCUCAGCCAAAAACUCCUCCUUAAGAGACUUCCUUUCUUGAUCAGUCGAAACCUUUGAAGCCAAAAUCUUGGCAUUAUUUUUUACACCCAAUUGACUCAAUUUCUCAGUACCAUAACCAUCUCUCAAAACUCUGCCUGCAGAUAUCAGGUUUAUGCACUGUGGCCCAAC